RNAcentral lists this ribosomal RNA (292 nucleotides) under uncultured prokaryote. Its description in RNAcentral is "partial 16S ribosomal RNA". It matches the Rfam family "Bacterial small subunit ribosomal RNA", at positions 505 to 796 of the family's 1533-position model. The record is from RNAcentral.
GUGCCAGCAGCCGCGGUAAUACGGAGGGUGCGAGCGUUAUCCGGAAUUAUUGGGCGUAAAGCGCGCGCAGGUGGUUUCUUAAGUCUGAUGUGAAAGCCCACGGCUCAACCGUGGAGGGUCAUUGGAAACUGGGAGACUUGAGUGCAGAAGAGGAAAGUGGAAUUCCAUGUGUAGCGGUGAAAUGCGUAGAGGUAUGGAGGAACACCAGUGGCGAAGGCGACUUUCUGGUCUGUAACUGACACUGAGGCGCGAAAGCGUGGGGAGCAAACAGGAUUAGAAACCCCAGUAGUCC